RNAcentral lists this ribosomal RNA (419 nucleotides) under uncultured eukaryote. RNAcentral's name for it is "bacterial SSU rRNA". It matches the Rfam family "Eukaryotic small subunit ribosomal RNA", at positions 592 to 1017 of the family's 1831-position model. The record is from RNAcentral.
CAAUAGCGUAUAUUAAUGUUGUUGCAGUUAAAAAGCUCGUAGUUGGAUUUCUGGUGGGAGUGGCCGGUCCGCCGUAAGGUGUGUACUUGGUUGUCUCCCGUCAUCCUUGUGGGAACUGCUCUGGCAUUAAGUUGUCGGGGUUAGGGAACACAUCGUUUACUGUGAAAAAAUUAGAGUGUUCAAAGCAGGCCUACGCUUGAAUACAUUAGCAUGGAAUAAUGGAAUAGGACUUUGGUGCUAUUUUGUUGGUUUAUGGGACCGAAGUAAUGAUUAACAGGGACAGUUGGGGCCGUUUAUAUUUCGUUGUCAGAGGUGAAAUUCUUGGAUUUACGAAAGAUAAACUUCUGCGAAAGCAUUCGGCAAGGAUGUUUUCAUUGAUCAAGAACGAAAGUUAGGGGAUCAAAGACGAUUAGAUACCG